Molecule: ribosomal RNA, 253 nt
Filed under: uncultured bacterium
Lineage: Bacteria
Description: partial 16S ribosomal RNA
Rfam family: Bacterial small subunit ribosomal RNA
Source: RNAcentral
UACGUAGGGGGCGAGCGUUGUCCGGAUUUAUUGGGCGUAAAGAGCGUGUAGGCGGCCAGGUAGGUCUGCUGUGAAAACUCGAGGCUCAACCUCGAGACGUCGGCGGAAACCAUCUGGCUAGAGUCCGGAAGAGGAGUGUGGAAUUCCCGGUGUAGCGGUGAAAUGCGCAGAUAUCGGGAAGAACACCCGUGGCGAAGGCGGCACUCUGGGACGGUACUGACGCUGAGACGCGAAAGCGUGGGGAGCGAACAGG